This 283-nucleotide ribosomal RNA is filed under the name uncultured soil bacterium. Its description in RNAcentral is "partial 16S ribosomal RNA". It matches the Rfam family "Bacterial small subunit ribosomal RNA", at positions 26 to 337 of the family's 1533-position model. The record is from RNAcentral.
AGAACGAACGCUGGCGGCAUGCCUAAUACAUGCAAGUCGAACGAACUCUUCGGAGUUAGUGGCGCACGGGUGCGUAACGCGUGGGAAUCUGCCCCUUGGUUCGGAAUAACAGUUGGAAACGACUGCUAAUACCGGAUGAUGACGAAAGUCCGAAGAUUUAUCGCCAAGGGAUGAGCCCGCGUAGGAUUAGCUAGUUGGUGAGGUAAAGGCUCACCAAGGCAACGAUCCUUAGCUGGUCUGAGAGGAUGAUCAGCCACACUGGGACUGAGACACGGCCCAGACU